UCACUUGAGUUGUAAUUCAUUGCAGUUAUUUGAUUAUCCUCAAUUGUUUAAUGUGGUAACAAAAUAUUAAAAUUUGAUAAGACUUCAUAAGGAUUUAAAAAAAUCAGAAGCGGACCCAAGUGUUAUACCGUAGGGUUCAAACUUUUGUAAAAAAAAACUAUUUAGGAAAAUGCUAUUAAAACCAUCGGAAAUAUAUUAUUGCCAAAAGUCUAUCAAAAACAGAUUUAAAAAUGGGACAAUGAUCGGAGAAACUCUCGAUGAUUUAUGUGAAGGAAGGUGCCAAUUGUCAAGUUUUCCAAAGAUUUGCGUCAUGAAAAAGGAUUCAAAAUGGUUUACAACAGAUAAUAGACGUCUUUGGGUGUUCAGAGAACUUUAUAGGCUUGGAAAAUGUGGCGAAAUACCCGUGAUUGAGACUGGAAGUAUUCCACCAAAUAAGAUGACAACAAAAAAUGGAGGCUUGUCAGUCUCAGUUCGAGGCAUUGGCGGGCCUGGAGGAAUGUGGUACCUUAAACCAGACGGUGCAGGUUCGAAUCCUGAUGGCACAUAUUCAUGUACUUGGCCAGAACACAGUUUGUUCAGUCUAGGAGCAUUUGGUUUUGAUUUUUAAAAUGACUCCGAUGACAUCGGGCUCGAUUAUUUAUGAGAACGGAUGUUACUUAGGUUAUUUUGCCUUUUGAUAAAAUUUGAAAUACAUGAAAUUAUACAUGUAGUACAGAUGGUUAUUCUACUUAAAGUGCCAUAAAUAUUUAUUAAUAUACAUAUGUACAUAGAUUGAUAAAUAUCAAUUUAUGAAACCUUUUACUAUUUUCACUUUUAUAUGGAAUGAUUUUACAUGCUACAGUUUUAGAAAUUAAUUUUAAUAGACAUUUACCCUAAUUUGAUAAGAUUGUUAACUUAAAGUUUAUUUUUAUUCUCGGACUAUUGUUAUCUUGAUUAUCUUUAGAAAAUUAAUUUAACGAUUAUAUCUAUUUUUGUGAUUUUGUUAUGUUUUUUCUUAUCUCAAGUUCCAGAGUUUAAAAUUAAUGGAUUCUUUGUUACAAAGUGCCUAGCUUUUUGCAAUUUCACGGUAAACUAAACACUGACGUUGGAAUCUGUUACAGCAAGCAAUUAAAUUUAUACUCAGAUUUUUUUUAAAUAUUUGACCUCUGUUUCUAAAACACGUUUAUUAUAUAAAAUAUUAAACUAAAUAAAAUAGGUAAUGUCUUCAGAUACACAGGGCAAAAUCAUUUCAAAUUUGACCAACAUUUUAUGAUAUUUUAAUUUUUAGUAUGUUCUGUUACAUAUUUAUUUGAUGAACAAAAAGACCCUUUACAGAGAGUUAGAUCCCUGUUAACAAUGUAUGUUCUACUAUUAUUAUUAUUAUUAUAAAAUUUUGUAAUUACUCCCCUUUAUAAUGAAGGUAUUCAAACAGUUGACCUUUUCUUUUGAUUUCAGUAUGAUUUCUAGUUUUUGCAUUUUAUAGUUAUUGAGAUAUUUCAACAACCUGGACCUAACGGCAAAUUUUAAAGCAGUGUGUAGCUUCCAAAUGCAUUUAUUUCUUAUCUAUUCUGAUAGUGCAACCAAGAUAGAUAAAGGGAGAUAAUAAGAAAUUUACAAAUAUACAUUUCCAAUGAACUUUGGCUAAAUAUGUAGCUAUCAAUGUAAAUCUUUGACAAAUAUAAUACAAUAGUUUUUAUAUCUACACCAUUUCAUAAGCAAAGUAGGUUUAUUAAAUUCAUACAAUAUGCUAUAACAACACUAUCUUGGUUGGGCAACCAGGAUAGGAAAAUCAAUUUAUAAGAAUACCUACAUGUAUUAAGCUCUUAGUGAACACAAUCAAGUGUAAAUGAUCAUUUGUUACACAAAUCCAUUACUUGAUCAAAAUCUGAUCAACCAUUAAAUGUCAUAAUAGUUUUUUAUAUAUAUUAAUUAAUUCUUUAGUCUUUACGAUAUUUAAAAAACGUCCGUACUGUUUAAAUUCGCGUAUUCACUUUAUUCAAAGUUUAUAGGUAUUUUUUUCUAAAUUUUGGAAUCUUUGGCAGAUAAAUCUCUUGAGUAGUUUUAAAGUAAAGUUAAAGGAAUGUAUAUUUAUGAAAAAAAGCUAUAAAUAGAUUUUCAGAAAACCGAAUUUCAGAAAAUGCAUGUUUGUUAUUUUUUGUGCGCGAUAUCGAUAGAGCUAUUUUUAACAUCGGACUUGUUUUAAAAGUGAGAUAAGUGUAUCAUGUAUCUCAUUUUAACUGUGAUACUAAUACGAGUGCAACUUAAUAUCAGUCAAGUAAAACGUAACACAUUUUGUUUCAGUACACUGUGUUAAACCAUAUGAUGUUAAUUUCAAUAAGGUAUAAUUGUUUGGGUAAUGCAGGAAUAAGGGUGUGUUUUUCCAGUUAUAAUUGAGAUGUUCAUAAAUUGCUAGCUGUGCUGUUAUCCCACAACGAAAACAAGUAUAACUGUAGUCCAAAAUAUUAGACGUGUACAUGCUCAUUUUACCUUCAUCAUUCAUUACUUUAUUAUUUUACAUUUCUAUUUCAAUCUGCAUUGUAACGUCUAAAAGGGCCCUAAUAUGUAGAAUGUAGCAUUUUCUCAAGUGUAAAAUAUACGAUGUACGCAGGUUUAAACAGUUUAGCCUACUGUUAUUUAUCAUAUUCUAGUAAUAUAUCGUUUGAAUUUACCUUUAAAACCCCUUAUAUCCAAUAUAUGUCAAUUGUGUACAGUUUUCAAUACACAUUCCGCCAUUUUUCAAGCAUAUUCAGCAGGUUAUAAUAUAUUUAGAAUCGACUUAGACGAAAAACAAUAUUCCAUGUGAACUAUUUGCCAAGUGAUCUAGAGGGAAAAUAUUUCGUCUAAAAUUGAUUCUCAAAAUAAACUGUAUUUACACAACAUUCGGAAUAGACCGGCAAUGUUGCACACCAUAACACAGAUACACGGCGAUACAUACAGUGGAAAGAAACAACUCGAUAUUUAUACAUGAAAAGUAACUUUUAUUUUGUAAUUAUUCACAUAUGCAGUUGAAAAAAGGAUUAUUUUCGGUGUAAGUAGUGUUCUUUCACUUCGGAUUGGGUUAUGUUGUUCGAAAUUUGAAGAAUAAAGGCGACAUGAAGUGUGUUCGCUUCUCACUACAUGUUAUAAAUGGCGAUCCGAUAAGACCUGACAUAACCGAUAGACGUCAAAAUGUUAAAAUAUGUUAUGUCAGGUCUUAUUUAUAGGACUAGUAUAACUGGUGAAGACUAAGUAUAUAUAAUUAACAAUAGGCAGCUAAAACAAUUUAAGUUUUAGUUAAAACUCAAUGGUUUAUACUUACUAUAAUUCUAAAAUUAAUUUCGUUCAACGUUUAGUGCGAAUUGGUGUAAAAUUGUUGACAAAGGAUACUUUACAUAUUAAAUAGAAAAUGCAAAGACAUUUAUUGGAUAUAAAGUCUGGUUAUUCUGGAAACUGUUGUUAAUUCUAUAAAGAUGAUUGUUUAAUACUUUACAUUCUCGAUUUAGAACAGAGAAAACACGGUUUUACAUAACACAAAAAAUAUUGCUUUUUGUAAUGCUAAUAUUCAUAAUGCUGGUCUGUCUUGUUUUGUUAUGCUCCCCAUCCCCCUCCCCCACGCCCCCCUUCCGCAAGAAUAAAAAACUAAUACCUUUAAGCCAACAAUAUAAAUACUUUUGCAAUCUGUUCUUAGUAUAACAGCAUGACAAGCAGCAACAAAGCCUUGUUCUAAAGAUCAUUCUGGUAUCUUACUGAAAACUAUACAUAUUAUUUCAUCAUAAUGUGCAAAUAUCUGUACGUUUUAUACAUUAAGAUAUGAUUUACAACUGUUAUUUGUUUACAAACUUUCUGUGAUAAACGUCUUUUUUCUACGCUAGUACACGAAACUGUUUCUAUUCUAUGAGUGACUCUUUCUUUCAGAAUGUUGUAAAAUUGUUGAUUGAAAUAGAAGUUCAAAAGAA
Long non-coding RNA from Mercenaria mercenaria, 3914 nucleotides. RefSeq lists it as uncharacterized. The transcript is spliced from 2 exons. NCBI's taxonomy places the organism in Eukaryota, Metazoa, Mollusca, Bivalvia, Venerida, Veneridae. The record is from RefSeq and is a predicted model, not a curated record.